GAUGAACGCUGGCGGCGUGCCUAAUACAUGCAAGUCGAGCGAACAGACGAGGAGCUUGCUCCUCUGACGUUAGCGGCGGACGGGUGAGUAACACGUGGAUAACCUACCUAUAAGACUGGUAUAACUUCGGGAAACCGGAUCUAAUACCGGAUAAUAUAUUGAACCGCAGUGUUCAAUAGUGAAAGACGGUUUUGCUGUCUCUUCUAGAUGGAUCCGCGCCGCAUUAGCUAGUUGGGAAGGUAACGGCUUAUCAAGGCAAGGAUGCGUAGCCGAACUGAGAGGGUGAUCGGCCACACUGGAACUGAGACACGGUCCAGACUCCUACGGGAGGCAGCAGUAGGGAAUCUUCCGCAAUGGGCGGAAGCCUGACGGAGCGACGCCGCGUGAGUGAUGAAGGUCUUCGGAUCGUAAAACUCUGUUAUUAGGGAAGAACAAAUGUGUAAGUAACUAUGCACGUCUUGACGGUACCUAAUCAGAAAGCCACGGCUAACUACGUG
Molecule: ribosomal RNA, 497 nt
Filed under: uncultured bacterium
Lineage: Bacteria
Description: partial 16S ribosomal RNA
Rfam family: Bacterial small subunit ribosomal RNA
Source: RNAcentral